AUUGAACGCUGGCGGAAUGCUUUACACAUGCAAGUCGAGCGGCAGCGCGGGGGCAACCCUGGCGGCGAGCGGCGAACGGGUGAGUAACAUAUCGGAACGUACCCAGUCGUGGGGGAUAACUAUCCGAAAGGAUAGCUAAUACCGCAUACGCCCCAAGGGGGAAAGCGGGGGAUCUUCGGACCUCGUGCUAUAGGAGGAGCCUGCGUCGGAUUAGCUAGUUGGUGAGGUAAAGGCUCACCAAGGCGACGAUCCGUAGCUGGUCUGAGAGGAUGAUCAGCCACACCGGAACUGAGACACGGUCCGGACUCCUACGGGAGGCAGCAGUGGGGAAUAUUGCGCAAUGGGCGAAAGCCUGACGCAGCCAUACCGCGUGUGUGAAGAAGGCCUCGG
This 390-nucleotide ribosomal RNA is filed under the name uncultured bacterium. RNAcentral's name for it is "bacterial SSU rRNA". It matches the Rfam family "Bacterial small subunit ribosomal RNA", at positions 29 to 420 of the family's 1533-position model. The record is from RNAcentral.